ACGAAUAUGUUCGCCACCACAGAAACAUAACUAAAUAUAUUGUAUUUUUAUGAUUUAUGACAAAACUACGCAAAUAUUUAUUGUUUUUAAUAUAAGUCAUAAAAAUAGAAUAAAUACAAUAUAUUUAGUUAUGUUUCUGUGGUGGCGAACAUAUUCGU
Non-coding RNA from Paramuricea clavata, 158 nucleotides. The record is from the annotation of a GenBank genome assembly. Lineage: Eukaryota; Metazoa; Cnidaria; Anthozoa; Malacalcyonacea; Plexauridae.